This 449-nucleotide ribosomal RNA is filed under the name uncultured bacterium. RNAcentral describes it as "SSU rRNA". It matches the Rfam family "Bacterial small subunit ribosomal RNA", at positions 26 to 518 of the family's 1533-position model. The record is from RNAcentral.
AGAACGAACGCUGGCGGCAUGCCUAACACAUGCAAGUCGAACGCCUGUAGCAAUACAGGAGUGGCGCACGGGUGAGUAACGCGUGGGAACCUACCCUGGAGUGGGGGAUAACCGAGGGAAACUUCGGCUAAAUACCUCAUACGACCUGAGGGUGAAAGAUUUAUCGCUCUAGGAGGGGCCCGCGUCGGAUUAGCUAGUUGGUGAGGUAACGGCCCACCAAGGCGAUGAUCCGUAGCUGGUCUGAGAGGAUGAUCAGCCACACUGGGACUGAGACACGGCCCAGACUCCUACGGGAGGCAGCAGUGGGGAAUAUUGGACAAUGGGGGCAACCCUGAUCCAGCAAUGCCGCGUGAGUGAUGAAGGCCUUAGGGUUGUAAAGCUCUUUCGGCGGGGACGAUGAUGACGGUACCCGCAGAAGAAGCCCCGGCUAACUUCGUGCCAGCAGCCGC